RNAcentral lists this long non-coding RNA (872 nucleotides) under Mus musculus (house mouse). RNAcentral's name for it is "long non-coding RNA chr10:28596446-28597318". Lineage: Eukaryota; Metazoa; Chordata; Mammalia; Rodentia; Muridae. The record is from RNAcentral.
UUUUAAUGUGCAAUGAUGGCUGGAUCAUUUAAAGUUCCUUUUAGAAAAUAACAUAAGCCAAAGACUGAAGUGUACAUAUGUCUAUAUGGAAGAAGCACAUUAUAUUUAUUGGUUACUUACAUUACUUUUUUGAUGGAUAAAAUACUACCGCCACACAAUCAUUUUUGUUGUUGUUGUUGUUUUAGGAGAGUUAGCUAAAAAUCAAUGGUAAACAAUUUUUUGUAGAUUAUUUUUUGUAUGUUUAGUGUAAGUAAAGGAUAAACUUUUUAUUCAUAAACCAGGAAGCAAUGUUUUCUGUAGUGGUUCCCUUGUGUACAUGCCUGUGAAUUAAAUUUAUGUAAAACAUCUUGGCAAUUGUCUUUGAAUAGAGGACCAAAUUAAAACAUUUCACUGAAAAUGUAGUUCUCCCCCAGUUUCAUUAGGUAAAUGAUGGCUUGAUGGUUGCCUAUGAGAAAUCUGCACAGCAGAGGACAUUGCAGGUAGCUUGCCCAAUGUGGAAUAUUACCUUUAAGCAUUGUUUAAACAUUAAAGAGUUAGUCUCUGCCUAUGGCCUGACACUGUUCAGGAUCACCAGAUGACAACAUUGCUGCUUGCAGGAUCAAGUUUUAGCAGAGUAUAAACUGCCACCGUAGCGGCGCAGUGUUCUUUUUGAUGUUUCCAAGCACAAGCUUUGGGUUUCUACAAUAGACAGUGCAAAUAGAUGUGUGGUCUCAUUCAUGUGCCCCACAUAGCUGUAGUGUCACAUCCUCAUCAGCUUGCAGUUUGUGAUUAACUGAAGCAUUAUGGUGUCCUCUUCCUACAUUGCCUGUCUAUGACAUGGUGCUUAUAAAGAUUUAAUGAGAGUAAGAGUGAAAUAAAGUUUUUAUAAUUGU